GACGAACGCUGGCGGCGUGCCUAAUACAUGCAAGUAGAACGCACAGUUUAUACCGUAGCUUGCUACACCAUAAACUGUGAGUUGCGAACGGGUGAGUAACGCGUAGGUAACCUGCCUGGUAGCGGGGGAUAACUAUUGGAAACGAUAGCUAAUACCGCAUAAUAUUGAUUAUUGCAUGAUAAUUAAUUGAAAGGUGCAAUUGCAUCACUACCAGAUGGACCUGCGUUGUAUUAGCUAGUAGGUGAGGUAACGGCUCACCUAGGCGACGAUACAUAGCCGACCUGAGAGGGUGAUCGGCCACACUGGGACUGAGACACGGCCCAGACUCCUACGGGAGGCAGCAGUAGGGAAUCUUCGGCAAUGGACGAAAGUCUGACCGAGCAACGCCGCGUGAGUGAAGAAGGUUUUCGGAUCGUAAAGCUCUGUUGUAAGAGAAGAACGGGUGUGAGAGUGGAAAGUUCACACUGUGACGGUAGCUUACCAGAAAGGGACGGCUAACUACGUG
This 505-nucleotide ribosomal RNA is filed under the name uncultured bacterium. Its description in RNAcentral is "partial 16S ribosomal RNA". It matches the Rfam family "Bacterial small subunit ribosomal RNA", at positions 28 to 507 of the family's 1533-position model. The record is from RNAcentral.